This is a non-coding RNA of Oryza meridionalis, 202 nucleotides long. The record is from Rfam. NCBI's taxonomy places the organism in Eukaryota, Viridiplantae, Streptophyta, Magnoliopsida, Poales, Poaceae.
AAUAAGCAGUGUCGUCAGUAUUUUUUUCAACUUUAAUCGUCCGUCUUAUUUAAAAAAUUUUAGAUUAGUAUUUUUAUUGCUAUUAGCUUAUAAAAUAUGAAUAAUACUUUGUGCGUGACUUAUAUUUUUCUAUUUUUUUAAAAAAAAACUAAAUAAGACGAACGAUUAAAGUUGGACAUGGAAACUCAUCGUUGUGCUUAUU